UCCCGCACAUUUGUCCCUCACCCCAACCCAAUCCCCACCACAGUCCACAGCCCGGUCCCCUUCCUAGAGAGGAGAGUGCUCCACUCCGGCCCGGUGCUCCACUCCUCCACAUACCCGAUCUCCGGCGUGGUGCUGGGGACGAGAGUGCUGCUGCGCAAGCUCGUUCGUGGUUUUUCUUUUAUCUCGAGUUGCUCCAUGUUUUCUUUUUUGGAUCUUGAUUUGCAUCCACUAGAUCUCCGGCGACCCGUCCUGGCCCACCCGCCGCCACCCUACCUUGAGCUCUACACGGAAACGUGGGCGCUGCCGCCGGCCGGCAGAUGCUGAUGCGUAUGUUUCGGCACGUCGCGUCCUAGCAAGCUAGCUACCUGCUGCUGGAUCUGAUGGCACGCGCGGCGGAGCUUUUCUCAUGAACUUUUUCCUUGCCGCUGCUACACUGAUCUUUUCCCUCUAAUCUUUUUCUUGUUGCUGCUUCACUGUGAUUUUUUCUUUGCUGAUUAUGUGCGUUUUGAUAUGGUGAAGAGAUCCUGCUGAUUUCUUUUUGGUCGUUGACUAUGGAAACAAAUCGUUUACUGCUCCGCCCCUCCCCACCUCUUGGCUCCGAUUUCCCCACGCCCCGCCCCACGCGCGUCCGGCCCAAUGCUCCGCGUGCCGCCGGCAAGAUGCCCCACGCACUUCCGGUCGGGUGCCCCUCUCGCCUACGUUUUUUGUCCAGGGAUUACUGCUUGUCAUGGACUGGUUCGUGGCAAAGAUCCAACUGGGGCUCGGUAGAGAUGCCCGUCGGUGUUUGAAUCGGACGAAGAGAGGUUGAUAAUGGAAUCUGGAGGUGCCAGGGAGGUGCGCCUACGACCGUGCUCCCUGCGUGACCAUGGUCUGGUUGCCGUCGACAGUGGGCCCCGCGCGCCGUCGACCGUGUGUAACGCGCGCCGUCUUCGUCCUUGCCCGGCCCUACCGCGAGCCACGAGCUCCGCCACCUGCGUCCUCGUCCAUCGCCGCUCGUCAAGUUUGUCCUGGCUGGCUACAACGACCUGGAGCUGGGCUCCCAUGGGCACGGUUGCUUUUUUUCUGGAUAGGAAGGAGACACAGCGCCGCGUGGUUUUCUUUUGAUCUGAUUUUUCUUCAACCCUUCUGCGAUCUGGAUUCUGAUGUAUUCCCGUUCCAGAUUUGUACAUGGUUCCCGAUCCAGAUCCCAUGUUCAUUCAAAAUACAAAGGCAUUUUGUCAAAGGGAUUUUGUGGUGACGAUAUUAGAAUAAUGUAAUUGAAGAAUUUUUUAAUUUUGUGGUGACAAUAUGAGCACAAUGAGAUUUUGUGGUGACUAUGAUGAACUUUCAUCAGCCUCAAGCAUGAUCUUGUAUUUGUUGUAAUUUUCCCUUUUUUCCAUUUGAUUUUUCUCCUGAGAAUACUUAGUUAGCCUCUAGUUUGUGUCGUUCUUUCUCGAGUUGGUCGAGCGGUUAUCGUGGUGCUGAUAAUAAUAUUUUAUCCGGUGACAAAAAUGCUUAUUAUGAGCCAGUCUACGGUGAUUGA
This is a long non-coding RNA of Lolium perenne, 1522 nucleotides long. RefSeq lists it as uncharacterized. NCBI's taxonomy places the organism in Eukaryota, Viridiplantae, Streptophyta, Magnoliopsida, Poales, Poaceae. The record is from RefSeq and is a predicted model, not a curated record.